UACGUAGGGUGCAGGCGUUAAUCGGAAUUACUGGGCGUAAAGCGUGCGCAGGCGGUCUCUUAAGACAGGUGUGAAAUCCCCGGGCUUAACCUGGGAACUGCGCUUGUAACUGAGAGGCUUGAGUGUGCCAGAGGGGGGUGGAAUUCCACGUGUAGCAGUGAAAUGCGUAGAUAUCUGGAGGAACACCGGUGGCGAAGGCGGCAUCCUGGACCGACACUGACGCUGAGGAGCGAAAGCCAGGGGAGCAAACGGG
RNAcentral lists this ribosomal RNA (253 nucleotides) under uncultured bacterium. RNAcentral's name for it is "partial 16S ribosomal RNA". It matches the Rfam family "Bacterial small subunit ribosomal RNA", at positions 524 to 776 of the family's 1533-position model. The record is from RNAcentral.